UGGGGAAUCUUGCGCAAUGGGCGAAAGCCUGACGCAGCGACGCCGCGUGAGGGAAGAAGGCCUUCGGGUUGUAAACCUCUUUCAGGAGGGACGAAGCCACUCGGGUUAACAGCCCAGAGGGUGACGGUACCUCCAGAAGAAGCCCCGGCUAACUACGUGCCAGCAGCCGCGGUAAUACGUAGGGGGCUAGCGUUGUCCGGAUUUAUUGGGCGUAAAGAGCGUGUAGGCGGCCAGGUAGGUCUGCUGUGAAAACUCGAGGCUCAACCUCGAGACGUCGGCGGAAAACAUCUGGCUAGAGUCCGGAAGAGGAGAGUGGAAUUCCUGGUGUAGCGGUGAAAUGCGCAGAUAUCAGGAAGAACACCCGUGGCGAAGGCGGCUCUCUGGGACGGUACUGACGCUGAGACGCGAAAGCGUGGGGAGCGAACAGG
RNAcentral lists this ribosomal RNA (428 nucleotides) under Actinomycetes bacterium. Its description in RNAcentral is "Actinobacteria bacterium partial 16S ribosomal RNA". It matches the Rfam family "Bacterial small subunit ribosomal RNA", at positions 355 to 776 of the family's 1533-position model. The record is from RNAcentral. Lineage: Bacteria; Bacillati; Actinomycetota; Actinomycetes.